This 72-nucleotide transfer RNA is filed under the name Chelonia mydas (Green sea turtle). It matches the Rfam family "tRNA". From Rfam's summary of the family: Transfer RNA (tRNA) molecules are approximately 80 nucleotides in length. Their secondary structure includes four short double-helical elements and three loops (D, anti-codon, and T loops). Lineage: Eukaryota; Metazoa; Chordata; Testudines; Cheloniidae. The record is from Rfam by way of RNAcentral.
GGCAGUGUUGCCUAGUGGGCAGUGCACUAGACUGGGACUCAGGAGACCUUGGUUCUAUUCCCAGCUCUGCCA